GAGAGGGAAACAGCCCAGAUCACCGUUUAAGGCCCCUAAAUAAUUACUAAGUGGCAAAGGAUGUAAUUGUACAUGGACAACCAGGAGGUUUGCCUAGAAGCAGCCAUCCUUUAAAAAUUGCGUAAUAGCUUACUGGUCAAGUCCUUUUGCGCCGAAAAUGAAUGGGACUAAGUAAUUUGCCGAAAACGUGAGAUAACAUCGGUAGAAGAGCGUUCUGUUUUAGUUUGAAGCAAUAGUGUAAACAGUUGUGGACUAAUCAGAAGUGAGAAUGUCGGCUUAAGUAACGAAAACAUUGGUGGAAAUCCAAUGCCCCGAAAACCUAAGGAUUCCUUCGCAAGGUUCGUCCACGAAGGGUUAGUCAGGGCCUAAAAUGAGGUUUAAAAACGUAAUUGAUGGAUAACGGGUUAAUAUUCCCGUACUGCAUUUUAUAUGGUUAGGAGUGACGGAGAAGGCUGUACCAUCCAAAUUUUGGUUUUUGGUUUAAUCUUUCAAGGUGUUGAGAAAUGCUAAAAAAAGUGUUUUGAGCUAAGAAGAGAAUACGAAAAAUACUACGGUAUUGAAAGUGGUGAAUGUCAUGCUUCCUAGAAAAACUUCUUUAAUUUCUGUAAUUUGUACCUGUACCUUAAACUGACACAGGUAGGUUGGUAGAGAAUACUAAGGGGCGCGAGAUAACUCUUUCUAAGGAACUCGGCAAAAUGGCUCUGUAACUUCGGGAGAAAGAGUGCCACAUCGAAAUAUGUGGUCGCAGUAAACAGGCCCAAGUGACUGUUUAUCAAAAACACAGGUCUCCGCUAAGUUGUAAAACUAUGUAUGGGGGCUGACGCCUGCCCAGUGCCGGAAGGUUAAAGAAAUUGGUUAGCUCACGCAAAGCUGGUGACUGAAGCCCUGGUGAACGGCGGCCGUAACUAUAACGGUCCUAAGGUAGCGAAAUUCCUUGUCGGGUAAGUUCCGACCCGCACGAAAGGCGUAACAAUUUGGGUACUGUCUCGGAAAGAGACUCGGUGAAAUAGAAUUGACUGUGAAGAUGCGGUCUACUUGCACUUGGACAGAAAGACCCUAUGAAGCUUUACUGUAACUUGAAACUGGUUUUGGGCUUUUAUUGCGCAGCAUAGGUGGGAGGCUUUGAUCCUCUUUUUCGGAAGUUGGUGAGCCGCAAUUUGAGAUACCACUCUAUAAAAGUUAAAAACCUAAUGACAUUUUUUUAACAAGAUGUUUGACACUUUCAGGCGGGCAGUUUUACUGGGGCGGUAGCCUCCUAAAAAGUAACGGAGGCGUACAAAGGUUUUCUCAGGCUGGACGGAAAUUAGUUGCAGAGUGUAAAGAUAUAAGAAAGCUUGACUGUGAGACCAACAAGUCGAACAGAGACUAAAGUCGGUCUUAGUGAUCCGACGGUGCUGUGUGGAAAGGCCGUCGCUCAACGGAUAAAAGUUACUCUAGGGAUAACAGGCUGAUCUCCCCCAAGAGUUCACAUCGACGGGGAGGUUUGGCACCUCGAUGUCGGCUCAUCGCAACCUGGGGCGGAAGUACGUUCCAAGGGUUGGGCUGUUCGCCCAUUAAAGCGGUACGUGAGCUGGGUUCAGAACGUCGAGAGACAGUUCGGUCCAUAUCCGGUGUGAGUGUUAGAGUAUUGAAAGGAGCUUUCCUUAGUACGAGAGGACCGGGAAGGACGCACCACUGAUGUACCAGUUUUUGUACCAACAGAAUACGCUGGGUAGUCAAGUGCGGAGUGGAUAA
RNAcentral lists this ribosomal RNA (1734 nucleotides) under Monomorphina sp. KIJ-2012b. RNAcentral describes it as "bacterial LSU rRNA". It matches the Rfam family "Bacterial large subunit ribosomal RNA", at positions 1013 to 2767 of the family's 2925-position model. The record is from RNAcentral. Lineage: Eukaryota; Euglenozoa; Euglenophyceae; Euglenales; Euglenaceae.